This 4740-nucleotide long non-coding RNA is filed under the name Diabrotica virgifera virgifera (western corn rootworm). Its description in RNAcentral is "uncharacterized LOC114326409". The record is from RNAcentral. Lineage: Eukaryota; Metazoa; Arthropoda; Insecta; Coleoptera; Chrysomelidae.
UUACUCUGACUUUUCAGUCAUAGUGUAUGAAAUGACAGAUUAGUAUAUUUUUACGAAUGUACAAUUUUUUAUUUGCAGAUAAUAUCUGGAAAAUGAUCUGGAUACCUAAUAAUCUGAAUUCAUUAAGUUUACUUUCAUUUUAAAUCACUUAAUGCAGCUGACAUAAACGACAUUUUUUAAAUUCCCGUGUCUACUUACGUUUAAUUUGUUGUCUUUCGGAAAAAUAUAGUGAGACACAUUUUUUUUAAGGGUUUUCCAAGGAGAAUGGAAUGGAAGUCAUGAACACAUUACCUCAAACUUCAUGCAACAAAGAACAACAAAUAAGUCCAAAAUCAGGAGAAAGAACUUUCCAAAAUUCAAUUUGUUCUAAAAAUUGUUCUGACAAAUAUAAAUUAAAUAAAAAUACAAACCUUCUGACUAGAGAAGGACUUCAGUCAACGUGAAAUAUUAUGUUGCAAGCAAUUUUCUCAAAAAGAUGCUUUAGAAUGUGUCACAUAAAUUUGUUUUAAGCAAUUUAGUCAAGCAGGUCAUUUGAAAGAACAUUUGAGAGUACACAAUAGAGAAAAGCCUUACAAGUGUUAAUUUGUUUUAAGCAGUUUAGCCGAGCGAGUAAUUUAAGCCCGACCGCACAUCAAAGAAACAUGAAACGUAAAUUACGUUUCAUGGAAAUAAACCACUGCUAAACAAAUAUACGUCCGGCCAUUUAUGAAACUCUCCGAAAAUAAAAAUGUGUCAUGAGCAUGAAUCACACUCGUUUCAUUGUUAGGCGGACUUUGAGAUUUGUUUAGCAGUGUUUUAGUUUCAUGAAACAUGUUUUUCGUUUCAUGUUUCAUGUUUUUCGUUUCAUGCUUCUUUGGUGUGCGGCUUGGCUAAAAGAACAUUUGAGAGUGCACACUGGAGAAACGCCUUACAAGUGUGAAAUUUGUUUUAAGCAGUUCAGGCAUAAAAUUUGUUUGGAUCGGCAUACGAAAGUUCACACUGGAGAAGCGUCUUACAAGUGUGAAAUUUGUUUUAAGCAGCUUUUUCGAAAGGAUUGUUUAAAAACACAUUUGAGGAUAGCCACUAUGUAGAAACGCCUUACAAGUGUGAAAUUUGUUUUAAGCAGUUAAUCAGAAAAGUAUGUUGAAAACACAUUUGAGACUACAAUCUGGAGAAACGCCUCAAAAGUUCAAAUUUUUUUUAAGCAGUUAAGGCAUAAAAUUUCUUUUGGAUGCGCACACCAAAGUUAGUUCACACUGGAGAAACGGCUUCUUUACAUAGUGCUGUCGCCAGGGGGGGGGGGGUACAAUGGACUCCUUUAUUUAGAUAGACUUACCAAGUUUUUUUAUGUAUUCUGAGCCGCAAAACACGAAUUUUUUGGGUAACAGUUGAUUCGGAUGUUGAUAAGAUUGUUAUAAACAAAGAACUUGUAGAAUUACAUAACAGCGAUUUUUCGCAAAACAUUUUUUUGUAUUUUUUGGGUCAUUCUAAGCAAAAAAUGUUCUUAAUACAAGUUUUUUCAAAGGAUUCAUGGUUUUUAAGAUAAAUGCGACUGAACGUUCAAAAAAUCGAAAAAUUGCAAUUUUUGAACCCAAAUAACUUAACCAAAAAAUAAAACAGCAAUGCUGCUUGCAGCAUUUGAAAGCUCAAGUGAAAUUAUACCGGUUUUGAUUAUUUGCAUUGCCAAAAAAUUAUUUUUUUUUAUUAAACAAACCUAAAACAUAUACCUAGUGCUUGGGUAAUGGAAGUAGGGGAGCAAAGUAUGCUAAAUGUGCAGUCACUCGAGCGUUAUGGGGACCUAUUGGGUUUUGAAGAAUAGGUCCUAAAACCAAAAAAAGUUAAGUAAAGUUUUUUAUUUUAGUGGGCGCUUGCUAUUUUUUAAUUUAUGUUGCCAUUUCCAACCAUCGUUUUUUCCGAUUAUAACGCCAUCUAUCCAUAAUUCGAAAAAAUGUUUCGAAUAAAAUUUACUUAUUUUUACGCAAGGAAUCCAAAUCUGCAAUAAAAAAUGGGGGCUCCUAUUUAAGAUUUUAAAGUAACCCCCCACCCCACCUCCGUGGGGGGUCGUGUUUGGUGCGAUUCGAUAGAUUUUUCAAAGAUAUUAAUAAUAAUAAUAAUAAUGGAGUUUAUUUGUAGCAAAUGAAUUGUACAUUAUAAAAUAAACUCAGUUCCUCACUGAAGUUGUAUGUACAACUUGUGCGUGAAGGUUCAAUUUUGAUUAUAAAACAACACUAAAUAAUUUUAAAAUUUACAAAAAGGAAUAAAAAAUAGUCUUUUUGCUCAUCUCUUUUCAAAUUUGGGUAUUUUACAGUAUUAAAUUGAAUAAGUGUAUUUUACAGUUUUUCGAUCUGAUGUUUAUUUCGCGAAAUAUCGCGGGAUUCGUAUUUAAAAUAUUAAAUUUACCCCCACCCCUCUCCGUGGGAAGUCAUGUUUGGUAUCAUUCGAUAGAUUUUUAAAAAAUAUUGAGCACAUAUUUUUUAGUUUUUCGAUCUGUCAUUCAUUUCGCGAAAUAUUCGCUUUUUUCUUAUGAAACUUUGGGACUCACCCAUUUCCUACGCCCGGCUCAAAUCGUCAGAUUUUUGAAAUAUACACUCUUUUGCAUGUACUUAACUUACCUUAUCUUAAUCUGACAAUUUCGUGUUUUUUUAAGGAUAGGUUUUUUUUCGGGCCCCCCUUAACGAACUCCCCUGUGUUAAGAGCCAAUAUGGUAGAGGUACAUCUGCAGGGUACCAGGUUUCUCCCCAUAUGAUAAUCUGACGCGCUCGAGUAACUGCAAAAAUCCCCGCUUGGGCUCCCCUACCAUAAUGUAAUACAUUUCUCAUUUAAAAUCGAACGAGAAGAGUUCAGGCUGUAUCGUCCCCCCGUUAGGUAAAUUAUUCCGAUUCGAUUUUUUUGCACAAAAUUACUCAAAAAGAGGUCCUUAUAACAAAUCCACAGGGUGCCAGACGAUACCGUGGUCUAAAAAUUGUUUAAACAAUUUUUUUAAACAAAUUCACAAAACUAGUUUUUUUACUUCGAACAAAUUCUUUUAUAUCAUUUGGGUCACUCUUUUCAUUUUUGUCUAAAACUGACUGUUAAAGAGUUAUACGCGGUUUAAAAUUUGAAAAUCGCGAAAAAUGCCAUUUUCAAGGAUUAAUAACAAGGUUAAAAAGUAUUAUUAUGAAAGUCAGGAAGUCACCAAAUCAAAGUUUAAAGUCUGCCCUACAAGAUCCUGAAAAAAUUAGUGUCAUUAUUGCAUUACUAAGCGUCUAUUUUAAUUAAUAACAAUGAGCGCUAAGCGCAUAUUAGGUGGCCGUCCAAUGGUGAAUCUCACUCGCACUCACAUUGACGGCCACCUCAAUACGCUCUUAACGCUCAUUGUUAAUAGUUAAAAAUAACAGCUUAAUAAUAAAAUAAUUAUUUAGUUAUUAAGCCUUAAAAAUGGCCAUUUUCGCGUUUCAAAAAAAAUUUAAUACAGAUUUUUCGACCACGGUACCGUCUGGCACGCUGUGGAUUAGUAAGGUUGUGCAAAAAAAUAGAAUCGGAAUAAUUUACCUAACGGGGGCGACGAUACAGCUGGACUAUAGGUACAAGUGCAAGCGCCUGCAAACAGGCAAUUUUUACAUAGCAUGCAUUGGGCACGCACCAAAACGCUCAAACAGUAUUUGUUUAUACAUAUGUAGCUUUGUUUAACAAUAAAAAAAAUAAUUUUUAGUAAUGCAAAAUAAUCAAAACCGGUAUAAUUUGACUUGAACUUUCGAAUGCGGUAAGGAGAAUUGAUAUUUUAUUUUUAACCAAAGUUAUUCGGGUUCAAAAAUUGCAAUAUUUAAUUUCGAUUUUUUGAAAGUUCAACCGCGUUUAUCUCGAAAACUAUGUAUCCUACGAAAAAACUUGUAACAUUUUUUGCUUAGAAUGACCCAAAAAAUACAAAAAAAUGUUUUGUUUUGCGAAAAAUUGCUGUUAUGUAAUUCUGCAAGUUCUUUGUUUAUAACAAACUUGUCGACAUCCGGAUAAACUGUUACCCAAAAAAUUCGUGUUCUACGGGUAAAAAUACAUAAAAAAAACUUGAGUAAGUCCAUCUAAAUAAAUGAGGCCGUUAUACCCCCUCGAGCGACGACAGCACUAACAAGUGUGAAAUUUGUUUUAAGCAGUUUAGCUACGUAAGUAAUUUUUCCACCUACCUCUACGGAAAGUAUACUUUUCCGGACCUGAAUUUAGGGAGCAAAGUUGUACUUUUUCUCCCUAGGGAGGAAAAUAUUUUUCCUCCCUAGGGAGGAAAAGUAAAAGUGACGUCAUGGUAUUUCAUUCAUGAAAUAUAACUUAUUGACGCCCUGUACAAUAUCUAUUUUCUAUUACGUAAGUAUCUAUACAUUUUAACAUUUAUUUAUAAAACACCCUGUAUUUUGCAGAAUGGUAAAAAACAGUAAAUUGUUAUUUUGAUUAUAACAUGGGAGUAAAGUGCCUUUUCCUCCCUUAAAUGAUUACUUCAUUCUCUGCAGGAAAAGUAGCACUUUCCUCCCUUGUCAUACAAAUAGCUAUUAAAGCACAUUUGAGAGUAGAGAAAAAUAUUACAAGUGUGAAAUAUAUGUUUUAAGAAGUUCAGUCAAGUAGAUAAAAUGAAACUACUUGAGAGAUUGCAUGGUGGAGAAAAGCUUUAUAAGUGUGGACAUUGUUAUACAUAUUCAGUAUGCUAAUAAACAAUUUUCAUUGUACUAUAACUAAUUUUCUUAUUUGUUACGACUACAUUAUAUUAUGGUGUAAAUAAAUAAUUAUUGAUUGGUGUAA